AUGUAAUCGGAGAAAUUCCCUGUUUUAGUGAGGUCCAAACGCACAAACAAGGUGAAAUUUCUAGAAAGGUUAUGAAUAUCGAACUUAAAGAUGUUGAGACGAAGAGCCACUACAUUCUGGGAAAAAUUAUUGAUCAAAUUGUGCCUCAUCUGACAAGCUUUAACAACCAGCCUAUCGUUGUUAUUAUGCAGCUUAUAGAAGCACAUAAAUUUCAAGAUUUAUAUUCGGUGCGCAAUACUUGGAAUGUAUCAAAGUUUUAAAUUAAUCCAACUUUUUCUCAAUGUGACGAAUUACUUUAUGUUCGGGAUAGUUUCUCUGAGAGGCUGACUCAAACCAUCUCUCAGCAAAGUUUUUGUCUCUGAUGAGUUAGCUAAGGGCAUUGUUCAAGUUAAAACAAUUGGUGAAUUAGUGGAGUUCAUGCAAGUAAGUGAACUAUUUUGUGUUAUGUUACUCCAAUCAUUCUUUAAAGUUAAUAGUUGUUCUAUGUGCAUCUGUUACAAUGAAUAACACAUAUGUUUAAGUUGUGUGAUAAAAUCAAACUAAUUGAACUUAGUUUGUCAGAUUGAUACAUAUGUUGUAGAGUCCUAAGUAUCAUGACUAUUUUUGUUGUACCAAAAAACUGUUUAACAAUAAGUCCCUCUAUGUUAUGUAUUCUUAUUAGCCAACAAUAUAUAAUGUGAUUAGAAGGUACCAGCCAAACAAGUUGGACCAUCUCUUUUGCCUUCACCCUUGUCCUAAAUUUCUCCAAGAAUAAGCUUAUUAGGCAGCGUGCGAGCAUACAUGCUAAAAGUGUUCUCAAAAUGGAAAUGUAGUACCUUUUGGAGGCAAUUAGAGAAGGAAAAUCAUCGACUUUACUUUUAGAGAUCUUGAAAAUAGUAUCUAACUUAAGAGGGAAUAAUAA
Molecule: non-coding RNA, 901 nt
Organism: Nicotiana tabacum (common tobacco)
Lineage: Eukaryota; Viridiplantae; Streptophyta; Magnoliopsida; Solanales; Solanaceae
Source: RefSeq, a predicted model, not a curated record